Molecule: long non-coding RNA, 573 nt
Filed under: Canis lupus familiaris (dog)
Lineage: Eukaryota; Metazoa; Chordata; Mammalia; Carnivora; Canidae
Description: lncRNA (ENSCAFG00845029141.1)
Source: RNAcentral
CCGCUCAGCCCGUCCUCGGGGCGCGGCGUGGGCUCCGCGGGCGGCCGGUGAGGGGGGGCGGCGCGGAGGAGGCCCCGGGGGUCGCCGCGCGGGCCGCACGCACGUGGAGCGCUGGGGAGCGGACGCCGCGGCCGGAGCGGGAGCAGACAUAGAUUUCUUGUAAGAAAUGAAGCACCCGGGUACAUGCAGAGAGGCUAACAACAGUAAACAAAUAUUGAUUGCGCCUAGCCAACUCCUUUGAGAUAAAAGGCAUCGGACCCCAAGUCCUCCAGUCGGUUCCAUGAUUAAAUGAUUCUAGAGCUGGCUUCCUUACUGCAGGCUGAGCAGCUCCCUUGUUCUGGUUGGAGGUAUUUUCUGUCUUGGACAUUCGACAUCUUGAAAGCAAGCUCCUGUGUUGGUCAUCAUGCCCGGUCCAUAGCUGCUGUCCUGGGACGUUGCCUUCAGCCUCCUCCUGGACUGACUUUCUUUGCUCCCCUGGCCUUCCAUUUCCUGGGUCUCAUCUCUUGUUUUGGUGAGGUGCUCAUAGUCGCUGUACAGAGAUCAGGCUGGGCAGUUCAGUUACAGAACCUCUGA